GACGAACGCUGGCGGCGUGCUUAACACAUGCAAGUCGAACGGAAAGGCCCUGCUUUUGUGGGGUGCUCGAGUGGCGAACGGGUGAGUAACACGUGAGUAACCUGCCCUUGACUUUGGGAUAACUUCAGGAAACUGGGGCUAAUACCGGAUAGGAGCUCCUGCUGCAUGGUGGGGGUUGGAAAGUUUCGGCGGUUGGGGAUGGACUCGCGGCUUAUCAGCUUGUUGGGGGGGUAGUGGCUUACCAAGGCUUUGACGGGUAGCCGGCCUGAGAGGGUGACCGGCGACAUUGGGACUGAGGUACGGCCCAGACUGCUACGGGAGGCAGCGGUGGGGAAUAUUGCACAAUGGGCGGAAGCCUGAUGCAGCAACGCCGCGUGCGGGAUGACGGCCUUCGGGUUGUAAACCGCUUUCGCCUGUGACGAAGCGUGAGUGACGGUAAUGGGUAAAGAAGCACCGGCUAACUACGUG
RNAcentral lists this ribosomal RNA (468 nucleotides) under uncultured bacterium. Its description in RNAcentral is "partial 16S ribosomal RNA". It matches the Rfam family "Bacterial small subunit ribosomal RNA", at positions 28 to 507 of the family's 1533-position model. The record is from RNAcentral.